Molecule: ribosomal RNA, 695 nt
Filed under: uncultured bacterium
Lineage: Bacteria
Description: bacterial SSU rRNA
Rfam family: Bacterial small subunit ribosomal RNA
Source: RNAcentral
UAACACGUAGGUAACCUGCCCAUGUGCCCGGGAUANCUUCUGGAAACGGAUGCUAAAACCGGAUAGGUAGCAGACAAGCAUUUGACUGCUAUUAAAGUGGCCUUGGCCAUGAACAUGGAUGGACCUGCGGUGCAUUAGCUGGUUGGUGAGGUAACGGCCCACCAAGGCGACGAUGCAUAGCCGGCCUGAGAGGGCGGACGGCCACAUUGGGACUGAGACACGGCCCAAACUCCUACGGGAGGCAGCAGUAGGGAAUUUUCGUCAAUGGGGGGAACCCUGAACGAGCAAUGCCGCGUGAGUGAGGAAGGUCUUCGGAUCGUAAAGCUCUGUUGUAAGAGAAAAACGGCACUCAUAGGGAAUGAUGAGUGAGUGAUGGUAUCUUACCAGAAAGUCACGGCUAACUACGUGCCAGCAGCCGCGGUAAUACGUAGGUGGCGAGCGUUAUCCGGAAUGGUUGGGCGUAAAGGGUGCGUAGGUGGCAGAUCAAGUCUGGAGUAAAAGGUAUGGGCUCAACCCGUACUGGCUCUGGAAACUGAUCAGCUAGAGAACAGAAGAGGACGGCGGAACUCCAUGUGUAGCGGUAAAAUGCGUAGAUAUAUGGAAGAACACCGGUGGCGAAGGCGGCCGUCUGGUCUGGAUUCUGACACUGAAGCACGAAAGCGUGGGGAGCAAAUAGGAUUAGAUACCCUAGUAGU